AGUGAACGCUGGCGGUAGGCCUAACACAUGCAAGUCGAACGGCAGCACAGUAAGAGCUUGCUCUUAUGGGUGGCGAGUGGCGGACGGGUGAGGAAUACAUCGGAAUCUACCUUUUCGUGGGGGAUAACGUAGGGAAACUUACGCUAAUACCGCAUACGACCUUCGGGUGAAAGCAGGGGACCUUCGGGCCUUGCGCGGAUAGAUGAGCCGAUGUCGGAUUAGCUAGUUGGCGGGGUAAAGGCCCACCAAGGCGACGAUCCGUAGCUGGUCUGAGAGGAUGAUCAGCCACACUGGAACUGAGACACGGUCCAGACUCCUACGGGAGGCAGCAGUGGGGAAUAUUGGACAAUGGGCGCAAGCCUGAUCCAGCCAUACCGCGUGGGUGAAGAAGGCCUUCGGGUUGUAAAGCCCUUUUGUGGGAAAGAAAAGCAGUCGAUUAAUACU
This 444-nucleotide ribosomal RNA is filed under the name uncultured bacterium. RNAcentral's name for it is "bacterial SSU rRNA". It matches the Rfam family "Bacterial small subunit ribosomal RNA", at positions 29 to 466 of the family's 1533-position model. The record is from RNAcentral.